Long non-coding RNA from Gallus gallus (chicken), 803 nucleotides. Lineage: Eukaryota; Metazoa; Chordata; Aves; Galliformes; Phasianidae. The record is from Ensembl.
GGGCGAGCCCCUCGGCGGCCGGGCCGGAAAGAAAUACAGAUGCAAAAGCAAGACCUGGAUAAAUGAGACAAGUAUUGUUCCUUCAAGCAGAACGUCCUGACUUCAAGACAGGGCAGACACAGCUGUGCUCCAUAUGGGGAACAUCCAUAGCCACAGUCCUAUCACGUGGCUCCCAAGCAUGUGCCUGGGCUCCCCUAUUUAUGUCUGGGAAAUCCCAAGCCAUGCACCACACGAACAGGAAAUCCAGUGUGUGGGAAACACAAACAACACAGAUGGUCAGCGAGUGCACAGAACACCCCAGGCACUCUGGUAAAUAUUGGGCUCCCCAAGAGAGGUGGGCCUUACGGUGCUUUGCACAGGGACAGCAGAAAGGCUCCAAGACUUACUGUCCAUAUGUUUUUCAAUUGUCCUUUGGGUUUCAGGUAGGUCUGAGCUCUAUUAAACAGCAUCGAUUAAAUAACAUAACGUGUGGUUUGUGCACCCAGCGUGUCUCCAACACGCCACACUCAUUGACCACGUGUUCUGCUGACAAACUGCAUGUGCGUUUGUCCGUGGCUUCCAGAUGUCAACCAGACUGUUGAGAAUGAUUGUGCUGAGUGAGGGACUGUACGCUGUGCCAAGGAUUGCUGAUAUGAGGAAAAGGAUGACAGGGUAGAGCAACCCUUAGUUCUCCAAUGAAUCUCCUCCUAUACAAUGCAGGAAAACAGGCUUUACAGCAAAUAGGAGCAGAGGGAAGCUUCUAGGAGGAUCAGAGAAAAGGAAAAUCCACCUCAUGAGAUGAGACUGAGCACCUAAUAAACAGG